This 423-nucleotide ribosomal RNA is filed under the name uncultured bacterium. RNAcentral describes it as "bacterial SSU rRNA". It matches the Rfam family "Bacterial small subunit ribosomal RNA", at positions 355 to 776 of the family's 1533-position model. The record is from RNAcentral.
UAGGGAAUAUUGGGCAAUGGGCGGAAGCCUGACCCAGCCAUGCCGCGUGCAGGAUGAAGGCCUUCUGGGUUGUAAACUGCUUUUACCAGGGAAGAAAACACCCAUGCGUGGGGAACUGACGGUACCUGGGGAAUAAGCACCGGCUAACUCCGUGCCAGCAGCCGCGGUAAUACGGAGGGUGCAAGCGUUGUCCGGAUUUAUUGGGUUUAAAGGGUGCGUAGGCGGCCUUUUAAGUCAGUGGUGAAAGCCCGCGGCUCAACCGCGGAACUGCCAUUGAUACUGGAAGGCUUGAGUACAGACGAGGUGGGCGGAAUUGAAGAUGUAGCGGUGAAAUGCUUAGAUAUCUUCAAGAACACCGAUUGCGUAGGCAGCUCACUAGGCUGUAACUGACGCUGAGGCACGAAAGCGUGGGGAGCGAACAGG